UCCAGGGUAGCCUAGUGGACAUGGAAUCUGCACGGUAAGCGGAACACUGUGGGUUCGAUUCCCAUCCCUGGAC
This 73-nucleotide transfer RNA is filed under the name Cordylochernes scorpioides. Its description in RNAcentral is "tRNA-Thr". It matches the Rfam family "tRNA". From Rfam's summary of the family: Transfer RNA (tRNA) molecules are approximately 80 nucleotides in length. Their secondary structure includes four short double-helical elements and three loops (D, anti-codon, and T loops). Lineage: Eukaryota; Metazoa; Arthropoda; Arachnida; Pseudoscorpiones; Chernetidae. The record is from RNAcentral.